ACCCUCCGAAGUGCCCCUGAGAUUCCUGGAGCCCCCCCUGAAACUCACUGGCUCCCCUGAAACGCCACUGAGACACUAAAGCAACUAUGAGGCCCUUUGUAACGCUUAUGAGACCCCCUGAUACGCCCCUGAAACAUCCUAAACUCCCUGGAGCCCCUUGGGACCUAGCAUGGGACCUCUUGAAAUGCCUGUGAGACCCCAUGGAACCCCUUGAGAUGCUCCUGAGACUCUCUUUAAUGUCUCUGAGACCUCCCGCUACACGCCGAGACCGUCUGGAAUGCCCUGGUAAUACUCCUGAGAUCCCCUGAAAUCCUCCGAAACGCCACUGGGAUUCCCUGAAACACUCUUGAAAUUUUCUGGAACUCCUCUGGAGUUCCCUGAGAUUCCUUAAAUCCCGUGUGGCCCACUGGAAUAAUCUCAAACGCCCAAAGACUCUUUGAAGCGCCUUUGUUGUCUCCCAUAAACGCUAUAGUUACCACCACUAUUACAUUUUUACGCACAAUAUUGGUUCUGAAUAGCCCUCCCUCUUUUUAUGAAGGGCAUAAUAAAGGUGCAUAAAAAUAGCCUGCAUAAAAAAGUUUUAGUGUACUUUUUUUUCAAGAAAAUCGUCAAUAUCUUUUGAUCGCACGACGCGCACGGAAAUAUACAUUUUUGGAAGCUCUAAAUAGUGGUUCUUGAACGGCUUUUGAGAAAUCCGGAAAAAAAGAUAGAGCGAUGAAACGAUUUGUUCUAGCGCCACCUUAUGAAAACUACACACUUAAUCUCCAAAUUUGAUCUCGGUAAACAUGAAUAACGAACUCAAUCGGUAAAAGUUAUUUAUACUGAAAUGUCGUUAAAAUUUGACAGUUCAUCAAAAAUAACUUGGCAAAAAUAACGAAAUUCAGUAAUUUACGUUCAUUGCCGAAUCUCGGCAAACUUUUUUGCCACAGCAAUCGGCAAUCUAAUCAUGUUACUGAAUUUCGGUAAAGCGCAUCUGUCAAAAAUGAAAAUGAAGAGCGCUGCCGGGUGCCAUCUUGGAAAAAAAGGAUUUUUUUGAAGCGAAUCAUCGCUCGAAUGAUUAUCUCUCUGUUAUUUUGGUGAUGAAGCGCUGCAGGAGGACUGCCGGAUCCUCUCUUCCAAGGUGCCUGUUUGUUUGCUGCCGGAGUUAACCAGCCGAAGCAAAAAUGGUCCGAAGGUAUGAACAAACUGCAUGUAAAUCCACAGGAAAAAAGGCUCCCCGUAAGCAGCUGGCCUAAAAGACCCCAAAAGUGUUGCCUCGACCGGUGGAGUGAAGAAGCUGCAUCGUUACCUGCCGGGAACGGUAAUUCUGCGAGAAAUCCGUCGUUACCAAAAAUCCACCGAUUUACUGCUUAAUCCGCAAGUUGCCGAUCCAGCGCACAAUGGUUUAUUUUCCGAUUUUCACGCUCUUAAUUAAUAGCUCGAACGAUUGAGGAAAUAGAGCAAUGGUGUCUUCGGCAAAGUUGACGGGAAUGACCAGCGUCAUCUUUUGACAGUUAGAGUUUUCGGAUCAAUCCCCCUAAAAGUGAGAUACAAAAUUAAAAUUUUUAAAUUGUUGAGAUAGAGGGUUGACGUCUUCGGCAAAGUUGUAGCAUUUUUGAUUCCAAACAACUUUUCUGAAGACGUCAAUAUUGUAUUUUUACACCAAUGGAGACAGAGGCCUGUGUUUGAAAGUUAGCCCCAAAAACACGUUUUUUAAGAAAAACAUAUAUUUGUUGAAUUUUCAGACCCAUACAAUGUUCUGCAAAGUUGUAUGUAUCUAUAAAAUACGUAACUUUGCUCAAGACAGCUGUGGGAAUUAAAUGAGACGAGUUAUAGAUAAAUUUAUGAUUUUUUUUCAUCCACUUUUAGGGAUAAAUAUCUUUCUUAGGGGCAAAAAGGUACAGCUGGGGAUACCCUUAUCAGAAAGUGCAUCUAAAGAGCUUUCAAAUAAAGGUUAGAUUGUCCGUCCACGAUCGUCUACUGAGGAGAUAUGACCAUAAUAAAAAAUGUCCAUACUACGAUUUAAGGUGAAACGGGACGCCGUGUUAUUUUUCCUAUCUUGCCUCUCUUUCUAACAAUUUGCCUCGCGAUUUUGAAGAUGGUAAUCUCGAGACCUAUCGCACUGAAGAUGCUGAAAACCAAUCAGCAUAUGCACU
Long non-coding RNA from Aedes albopictus (Asian tiger mosquito), 2135 nucleotides. RefSeq lists it as uncharacterized. The record is from RefSeq and is a predicted model, not a curated record. The transcript has 2 exons. Lineage: Eukaryota; Metazoa; Arthropoda; Insecta; Diptera; Culicidae.